RNAcentral lists this ribosomal RNA (1014 nucleotides) under Triticum aestivum (bread wheat). RNAcentral describes it as "partial small subunit ribosomal RNA". The record is from RNAcentral. Lineage: Eukaryota; Viridiplantae; Streptophyta; Magnoliopsida; Poales; Poaceae.
AUGGAGGCGCCACACGUCGUGGAGGACUGCCGCGGCGUGCUGCAGGUGCUCAGCGACGGGACGACCGUGCGCUCCGCCGCGGCGCCGUACACGGUGGAGGACCGCGACGACGGGCGCGUCGAGUGGAGGGACGCCGUGUACCACCCGGCCCACGGCCUCGGCGUGCGCAUGUACAGGUCGGCGCGACGGGAAGCGGAGGGACGGCUGCCGGUGCUGGCCUACUUCCACGGCGGCGGCUUCUGCAUCGGCAGCCGCGCCUGGCCCUCCGUGCACGCCUGCUGCCUCCGCUUCGCCCACGAGCUCCCCGCCCUCGUGCUCUCCUUCGACUACCGCCUCGCGCCCGAGCACCGCCUCCCGGCCGCCCACCAGGACGCCGCCGACGCCCUCGCCUGGCUCCGCGACCGCCUCGCCCCCGGCCCUGCUGAUGGAUCUGGGUCAGACGGGGACGUCCAAGCCUGGCUCGCCGACUCCGGCGCCGACCCGGGCAGGCUCUUCGUGUCGGGCGACUCCGCCGGCGCCAACAUCGCGCACCACAUGGCCGCGCGGUUCGGCGCGGCGGGGCUCGACCCCGUGAAGACAGCCGGGUACGUCCUCAUCAUGCCGGCGUUCACCUCGGAGGCGCCGACGCAGUCCGAGCUGGGCUCGCGGGGCAGCGCGUUCCUGAGCCGGGACGUGGCCGAGCGGUACAACCGGCUCGCCCUGCCGGCCGGCGCCAACAAGGACUACCCGCUGAUGAACCCGCUCGGGCCGGACAGCCCGGGCCUGGGACUCGUGGGCGGCCGCGUGCUCGUCGUCGUCGGCGGCGACGACAUGCUCAAGGACAACCAGGUCCGGUACGUGGAGCGGAUGAAGGCCGCGGGGAACGACGUCGAGCUCGCACUGUUCGCGGGCAUGGAGCACGGCUUCUUUUCCAGGGACCCAUGGUCGGAGACCAGCGGCGAGGUCGUGCGAGUCGUCGGCCGGUUCAUGGGCAGAGACGCAGCCGAUUCAACCGGCGCCGACGGUCAGGACUAA